This 708-nucleotide ribosomal RNA is filed under the name Triticum aestivum (bread wheat). Its description in RNAcentral is "partial small subunit ribosomal RNA". Lineage: Eukaryota; Viridiplantae; Streptophyta; Magnoliopsida; Poales; Poaceae. The record is from RNAcentral.
AUGGCCGGCCAAGGAGAUGAUGUCAAGGUACUGGGCACGGCGGCGAGCAUGUUCGCGAUCCGCGUGCGCAUGGCGCUGCACGUCAAGGGCGUGAGCUACGAGUACCUGGAGCAGGACCUGUUCCACAAGGGCGAGCUCCUCCUCGCCUCCAACCCGGUGCGCAAGGCGGUCCCCGUGCUCAUCCACGCCGGCAGGCCCAUCUGCGAGUCGCUCGCCAUCGUCGAGUACGUCGACGAGGUCUGGGCCGGCGCCGCCUCGCUCCUCCCCGCGGACCCCUACGACCGCGCCGUCGCCCGCUUCUGGGCGGCCUACAUCGAUGACAAGGCUGUCCCCACGUGGAUAGGCAUCAUGAGGGCGGCCACGGAGGAGGACAGGGCGGAGGGGCUGGCCGCUGCGCUCGCGGCGGUCGCGCCCUUGGAGGACGCCUUCGCCCAGUGCUCUGGCGGGAAGGCCUUCUUCGCCGGCGACUCCAUCGGGUACCUCGACCUUGCGCUCGGGUGCAACCUCUUCUGGAUCGAGGCGCUGCGCCACAUGUUCGGCGUCACGGUCAUCGACGCUGGCAGGACUCCACGCCUGGCCGCCUGGGCUGAGAGGUUCGAGCAGACGGAGGCUGCAAAGAAGGCGGCGCCGCCCAUGGAAAGCAUGUUGGAGGAGGCCGAGAAGCUGCGGGCCAUGUGGGCUGCUGCUGCUGCCCCGGCUGCCAAGUAA